GCCAUCCGAGUGGCUGAAGGAGCACGCCUGGAAAGUGUGUAUACGGCAACGUAUCGGGGGUUCGAAUCCCCCCCUCACCGCCA
Molecule: transfer RNA, 83 nt
Filed under: Escherichia coli O111:NM str. 2010C-4715
Lineage: Bacteria; Pseudomonadati; Pseudomonadota; Gammaproteobacteria; Enterobacterales; Enterobacteriaceae
Description: tRNA-Ser
Rfam family: tRNA (bases 4-72)
About the family: Transfer RNA (tRNA) molecules are approximately 80 nucleotides in length. Their secondary structure includes four short double-helical elements and three loops (D, anti-codon, and T loops).
Source: RNAcentral